RNAcentral lists this ribosomal RNA (301 nucleotides) under uncultured bacterium. RNAcentral's name for it is "partial 16S ribosomal RNA". It matches the Rfam family "Bacterial small subunit ribosomal RNA", at positions 509 to 807 of the family's 1533-position model. The record is from RNAcentral.
CAGUCGCCGCGGUAAUACGUAGGGUGCGAGCGUUAAUCGGAAUUACUGGGCGUAAAGCGAGCGCAGACGGUUAUUUAAGCAGGAUGUGAAAUCCCCGGGCUUAACCUGGGAACUGCGUUCUGAACUGGAUAGCUAGAGUGUGUCAGAGGGGGGUAGAAUUCCACGUGUAGCAGUGAAAUGCGUAGAGAUGUGGAGGAAUACCGAUGGCGAAGGCAGCCCCCUGGGAUAACACUGACGUUCAUGCUCGAAAGCGUGGGUAGCAAACAGGAUUAGAUACCCCCGUAGUCCCUGUCUCUUAUAC